UUUUAACGGCUGCGGUAUUUUGACCGUGCUAAGGUAGCAUAAUCAAUUGUUUUUUAAUUGAAAACUAGUAUGAACGGUUUAAUUUACUUAAUUAGUUUGUAAUUUUUAAUAGUAAGUUAAAUAUAAAGUAAGAAUUCUUUAAUAAAUUAGGGGACGAUAAGACCCUAAAAGCUUUAUGAUUGGCAUUUAAUUGGUGAUAGCGGUGUUAUUAAUUCACUGGGGCAGUGAGUUUAGGUAUAUUUAAGUAUAAUUAAAAGCUCCUUUAAAUAAAGAUUUCAUGUAUAAGUUACUUUAGGGAUAACAGUGCAAUAUAUUUGGGGAGACCAUAUCUAUAAAUAUGAUUGCAACCUCGAUGUUG
RNAcentral lists this ribosomal RNA (358 nucleotides) under Dikerogammarus haemobaphes. Its description in RNAcentral is "partial 16S ribosomal RNA". It matches the Rfam family "Bacterial large subunit ribosomal RNA", at positions 1922 to 2534 of the family's 2925-position model. The record is from RNAcentral. Lineage: Eukaryota; Metazoa; Arthropoda; Malacostraca; Amphipoda; Gammaridae.